Molecule: ribosomal RNA, 748 nt
Filed under: Plectania rhytidia
Lineage: Eukaryota; Fungi; Ascomycota; Pezizomycetes; Pezizales; Sarcosomataceae
Description: partial large subunit ribosomal RNA
Rfam family: Eukaryotic large subunit ribosomal RNA
Source: RNAcentral
ACAGGGAUUGCCUCAGUAACUGCGAGUGAAGCGGCAAAAGCUCAAAUUUGAAAUCUGGGGUGCUCGAGUUGUAAUUUGGAGAGGCAACUUCGGAGGGGGUCCUUGGAACAGGACGUCACAGAGGGUGAGAAUCCCGUGCUUGGCUGGCUGUCCUCCUUCAUGUGAAGUGUCUUCGACGAGUCGAGUUGUUUGGGAAUGCAGCUCAAAAUGGGUGGUAAACUCCAUCUAAGGCUAAAUACUGGCGAGAGACCGAUAGCGCACAAGUAGAGUGAUCGAAAGAUGAAAAGCACUUUGAAAAGAGAGUUAAACAGUACGUGAAAUUGUUGAAAGGGAAGCGCUUGAGACCAGACUCGGUGAUUGGUGAUCAGCCCGUGCACUUGCCUUUUUGGGCCAGCAUCAGUUGACGGCAGGAUAAAGGAAUGUGGCUCUCUCCCUGGGUGUAAUGCUGCCGCCGCGACUGAGGACCGCGCUUCGGUCUUCAGCGACCCGUCUUGAAACACGGACCAAGGAGUCUAACAUCUAUGCGAGUGUUCGGGUGUAAACCCCUGCGCGUAAUGAAAGUGAACGGAGGUGGGGUGCACCAUCGACCGAUCCUGAUGUCUUCGGAUGGAUUUGAGUAGGAGCAUAGCUGUUGGGACCCGAAAGAUGGUGAACUAUGCCUGAAUAGGGUGAAGCCAGAGGAAACUCUGGUGGAGGCUCGGUUCUGACGUGCAAAUCGAUCGUCAAAUUUGGGGCGAAAGACUAAUCG